This 85-nucleotide transfer RNA is filed under the name Treponema sp. Its description in RNAcentral is "tRNA-Ser". It matches the Rfam family "tRNA". Rfam says of the family: Transfer RNA (tRNA) molecules are approximately 80 nucleotides in length. Their secondary structure includes four short double-helical elements and three loops (D, anti-codon, and T loops). The record is from RNAcentral. RNAcentral also lists the same sequence under 4 other names. Lineage: Bacteria; Pseudomonadati; Spirochaetota; Spirochaetia; Treponematales; Treponemataceae.
GGAGCGGUGUCCGAGCGGUUUAAGGAGGCGGUCUUGAAAACCGUUGAGCCGAAAGGUUCCGGGGGUUCGAAUCCCCCCUGCUCCG